Molecule: ribosomal RNA, 396 nt
Filed under: uncultured bacterium
Lineage: Bacteria
Description: bacterial SSU rRNA
Rfam family: Bacterial small subunit ribosomal RNA
Source: RNAcentral
CGGGGAGGACGCAGCUUUGAUCCGCCCCCCGCGCGCAGGAUGAAGGCCCUCGGGCCGAAACCGCCCCUGUAGGGAACGAAAAGGCCUCUCCUAAUACGAGAGGCCCAUGACGGUACCGUAAGAAUAAGCACCGGCUAACCACGCGCCAGCAGCCGCGAUAAUACGCAGGGUGCAAGCGCUAAUCGGAACUACCGGGCGUAAAGCGUGCGCAGGCGGUUAUAUAAGACAGAUGUGAAAUCCCCGGGCUCAACCUGGGAACCGCAUUUGUGACUGUAUAGCUAGAGUACGGUAGAGGGGGAUGGAAUUCCGCGUGUAGCAGUGAAAUGCGUAGAUAUGCGGAGGAACACCGAUGGCGAAGGCAAUCCCCUGGACCUGUACUGACGCUCAUGCACGAAA